This 402-nucleotide ribosomal RNA is filed under the name uncultured prokaryote. Its description in RNAcentral is "bacterial SSU rRNA". It matches the Rfam family "Bacterial small subunit ribosomal RNA", at positions 355 to 774 of the family's 1533-position model. The record is from RNAcentral.
CUAGGAAUAUUGGGCAAUGGGCGAAAGCCUGACCCAGCCAUGCCGCGUGAGUGAUGAAGGUCUUCGGAUUGUAAAGCUCUUUUGUCAGGGACGAUAAUGACGGUACCUGAAGAAUAAGUAACGGCUAACUUCGUGCCAGCAGCCGCGGUGAUACGAAGGUUACUAGCGUUGUUCGGAUUUACUGGGCGUAAAGGGCACGUAGGCGGCUUGAUAAGUUAAGGGUGAAAUCCCGGGGCUUAACCUCGGAAUUGCCUUUAAGACUAUUGAGCUAGAGUUAAGUAGAGGAUAGCAGAAUUCCCAGUGUAGAGGUGAAAUUCGUAGAUAUUGGGAGGAAUACCGGUGGCGAAGGCGGCUAUCUGGACUUUUACUGACGCUGAGGUGCGAAAGCGUGGGGAGCAAACA